CAGUCGCCGCGGUAAUACGUAGGGUGCGAGCGUUGCUCGGAAUGACUGGGCGUAAAGGGCGCGUAGGCGGAUUGUUUAGUUAGGCGUGAAAUUCCUGGGCUUAACCUGGGGACUGCGCUUAAUACAGGCAGUCUAGAGUGAGGAAGAGGGUUGUGGAAUUCCCAGUGUAGAGGUGAAAUUCGUAGAUAUUGGGAAGAACACCGGUGGCGAAGGCGGCAACCUGGUCCUUGACUGACGCUGAGGCGCGAAAGCGUGGGGAGCAAACAGGAUUAGAUACCCGAGUAGUCCCUGUCUCUUAUAC
Molecule: ribosomal RNA, 301 nt
Filed under: uncultured bacterium
Lineage: Bacteria
Description: partial 16S ribosomal RNA
Rfam family: Bacterial small subunit ribosomal RNA
Source: RNAcentral